CAUCCCGAACUCAGAAGUGAAACGAAACAGCGUCGAUGGUAGUGUGGGGUCUCCCCAUGUGAGAGUAGAACAUCGCCAGGC
This 81-nucleotide ribosomal RNA is filed under the name Vibrio cholerae. The record is from RNAcentral. Lineage: Bacteria; Pseudomonadati; Pseudomonadota; Gammaproteobacteria; Vibrionales; Vibrionaceae. RNAcentral also lists the same sequence under 4 other names.